CAGCCAUAUCUCGGUCGUCACCUUCGUUGCUGCCGACGAGUCCGGACAUCCUACAACAUUAACGCCGACACUGUUUCUGGAGAACUGUUGUAGUGCUUGGGGCGGAGAAGCGGAUUCUGCUGAACGACGUGGCGGGAAUUCUGGAGGAUGGAAACGAUCCAAACAGCUUGGUGAAGAAGAGUAACAUAAAAAGAGUGAAGAAAAUGGUCGAAGAGAGAAAAGUUGGAGAUGGAAUGAUACCUAGAGUUAAUUGUUGCGUGAGAUCGUUGGCACAAGGGGUUACUACAGCGAGAAAAUCUUCAACUCUAACUCAUUGAUGCAAAGGCCAGGGAAAUCACUGAUGUAAAUCAAGUUUCAUGAGGAUCACUGAUGUAAAUCAAGUUUCAUGAGGAGUUAUCCAAUCUAGGUUGGUGAAGAUGUGGUGGGAGAGCUAACCAAGUCCAUGGAAAAAAUUGGGAUGGAUAUCCUAAUUGUUGCUCUAUUUAGUCUCACUCUUCUCUCUUUUUUAUAUAUAUAUUUUAUGGCUAGGAUUUGAGUAUGACGAUUUCCAAUGUGUCUGACUGAGUUUUUUGAGUUACAAGAUUUUAUUAUGUCAUUUUUAUUUUAUUUUAAGUCAUUCUUGGUGGUAUAGUAUAUAAACUGUAAAUGAAACUUAACUUGCUGAUUUGAUGUAGGUUAAUGAUACCAUUGGAACAUUAGCUGGAGGCAGAUUCUACAAUCAGGAUGUAAUUGCUAUUGUGAUUCUUGGUAUUGGAACAAAUGCAGCAUAUGUAGAACGUGCACAUGCUAUUCCAAAAUGGCACACUUAUACCAAAAUCUGGAGAUAUGGUUAUAAACAUGGAGUGGGGUAAUUUCCGA
Molecule: small RNA, 858 nt
Filed under: Vigna angularis var. angularis
Lineage: Eukaryota; Viridiplantae; Streptophyta; Magnoliopsida; Fabales; Fabaceae
Description: Non-protein coding transcript
Source: RNAcentral